RNAcentral lists this ribosomal RNA (497 nucleotides) under uncultured bacterium. RNAcentral's name for it is "partial 16S ribosomal RNA". It matches the Rfam family "Bacterial small subunit ribosomal RNA", at positions 28 to 507 of the family's 1533-position model. The record is from RNAcentral.
GACGAACGCUGGCGGCGUGCCUAAUACAUGCAAGUUGAGCGAUGAAGAUUGGUGCUUGCACCAAUUUGAAGAGCAGCGAACGGGUGAGUAACGCGUGGGGAAUCUGCCUUUGAGCGGGGGACAACAUUUGGAAACGAAUGCUAAUACCGCAUAACAACUUUAAACAUAAGUUUUAAGUUUGAAAGAUGCAAUUGCAUCACUCAAAGAUGAUCCCGCGUUGUAUUAGCUAGUUGGUGAGGUAAAGGCUCACCAAGGCGAUGAUACAUAGCCGACCUGAGAGGGUGAUCGGCCAAAUUGGGACUGGGACACGGCCCAAACUCCUACGGGAGGCAGCAGUAGGGAAUCUUCGGCAAUGGACGAAAGUCUGACCGAGCAACGCCGCGUGAGUGAAGAAGGUUUUCGGAUCGUAAAACUCUGUUGGUAGAGAAGAACGUUGGUGAGAGUGGAAAGCUCAUCAAGUGACGGUAACUACCCAGAAAGGGACGGCUAACUACGUG